RNAcentral lists this ribosomal RNA (2192 nucleotides) under Bacillus anthracis (anthrax bacterium). RNAcentral's name for it is "bacterial LSU rRNA". It matches the Rfam family "Bacterial large subunit ribosomal RNA", at positions 1 to 2192 of the family's 2925-position model. Lineage: Bacteria; Bacillati; Bacillota; Bacilli; Caryophanales; Bacillaceae. The record is from RNAcentral.
UUUGGUUAAGUUAGAAAGGGCGCACGGUGGAUGCCUUGACACUAGGAGUCGAUGAAGGACGGGACUAACGCCGAUAUGCUUCGGGGAGCUGUAAGUAAGCUUUGAUCCGAAGAUUUCCGAAUGGGGAAACCCACCAUACGUAAUGGUAUGGUAUCCUUAUCUGAAUACAUAGGGUAAGGAAGACAGACCCAGGGAACUGAAACAUCUAAGUACCUGGAGGAAGAGAAAGCAAAUGCGAUUUCCUGAGUAGCGGCGAGCGAAACGGAACAUAGCCCAAACCAAGAGGCUUGCCUCUUGGGGUUGUAGGACAUUCUAUACGGAGUUACAAAGGAACGAGGUAGACGAAGCGACCUGGAAAGGUCCGUCGUAGAGGGUAACAACCCCGUAGUCGAAACUUCGUUCUCUCUUGAAUGUAUCCUGAGUACGGCGGAACACGUGAAAUUCCGUCGGAAUCUGGGAGGACCAUCUCCCAAGGCUAAAUACUCCCUAGUGAUCGAUAGUGAACCAGUACCGUGAGGGAAAGGUGAAAAGCACCCCGGAAGGGGAGUGAAAGAGAUCCUGAAACCGUGUGCCUACAAAUAGUCAGAGCCCGUUAACGGGUGAUGGCGUGCCUUUUGUAGAAUGAACCGGCGAGUUACGAUCCCGUGCGAGGUUAAGCUGAAGAGGCGGAGCCGCAGCGAAAGCGAGUCUGAAUAGGGCGUUUAGUACGUGGUCGUAGACCCGAAACCAGGUGAUCUACCCAUGUCCAGGGUGAAGUUCAGGUAACACUGAAUGGAGGCCCGAACCCACGCACGUUGAAAAGUGCGGGGAUGAGGUGUGGGUAGCGGAGAAAUUCCAAUCGAACCUGGAGAUAGCUGGUUCUCCCCGAAAUAGCUUUAGGGCUAGCCUUAAGUGUAAGAGUCUUGGAGGUAGAGCACUGAUUGGACUAGGGGUCCUCAUCGGAUUACCGAAUUCAGUCAAACUCCGAAUGCCAAUGACUUAUCCUUAGGAGUCAGACUGCGAGUGAUAAGAUCCGUAGUCAAAAGGGAAACAGCCCAGACCGCCAGCUAAGGUCCCAAAGUGUGUAUUAAGUGGAAAAGGAUGUGGAGUUGCUUAGACAACUAGGAUGUUGGCUUAGAAGCAGCCACCAUUUAAAGAGUGCGUAAUAGCUCACUAGUCGAGUGACUCUGCGCCGAAAAUGUACCGGGGCUAAAUACACCACCGAAGCUGCGGAUUGAUACCAAUGGUAUCAGUGGUAGGGGAGCGUUCUAAGGACAGUGAAGUCAGACCGGAAGGACUGGUGGAGUGCUUAGAAGUGAGAAUGCCGGUAUGAGUAGCGAAAGACGGGUGAGAAUCCCGUCCACCGAAUGCCUAAGGUUUCCUGAGGAAGGCUCGUCCGCUCAGGGUUAGUCAGGACCUAAGCCGAGGCCGACAGGCGUAGGCGAUGGACAACAGGUUGAUAUUCCUGUACCACCUCUUUAUCGUUUGAGCAAUGGAGGGACGCAGAAGGAUAGAAGAAGCGUGCGAUUGGUUGUGCACGUCCAAGCAGUUAGGCUGAUAAGUAGGCAAAUCCGCUUAUCGUGAAGGCUGAGCUGUGAUGGGGAAGCUCCUUAUGGAGCGAAGUCUUUGAUUCCCCGCUGCCAAGAAAAGCUUCUAGCGAGAUAAAAGGUGCCUGUACCGCAAACCGACACAGGUAGGCGAGGAGAGAAUCCUAAGGUGUGCGAGAGAACUCUGGUUAAGGAACUCGGCAAAAUGACCCCGUAACUUCGGGAGAAGGGGUGCUUUCUUAACGGAAAGCCGCAGUGAAUAGGCCCAAGCGACUGUUUAGCAAAAACACAGCUCUCUGCGAAGCCGUAAGGCGAAGUAUAGGGGGUGACACCUGCCCGGUGCUGGAAGGUUAAGGAGAGGGGUUAGCGUAAGCGAAGCUCUGAACUGAAGCCCCAGUAAACGGCGGCCGUAACUAUAACGGUCCUAAGGUAGCGAAAUUCCUUGUCGGGUAAGUUCCGACCCGCACGAAAGGUGUAACGAUUUGGGCACUGUCUCAACCAGAGACUCGGUGAAAUUAUAGUACCUGUGAAGAUGCAGGUUACCCGCGACAGGACGGAAAGACCCCGUGGAGCUUUACUGUAGCCUGAUAUUGAAUUUUGGUACAGUUUGUACAGGAUAGGCGGGAGCCUUUGAAACCGGAGCGCUAGCUUCGGUGGAGGCGCUGG